GAUGAACGCUGGCGGCGUGCCUAAUACAUGCAAGUCGAGCGAACGGACGAGAAGCUUGCUUCUCUGAUGUUAGCGGCGGACGGGUGAGUAACACGUGGAUAACCUACCUAUAAGACUGGGAUAGCUUCGGGAAACCGGAGCUAAUACCGGAUAAUAUUUUGAACCGCAUGGUUCAAAAGUAAAAGACGGUCUUGCUGUCACUUAUAGAUGGAUCCGCGCUGCAUUAGCUAGUUGGUAAGGUAACGGCUUACCAAGGCAACGAUGCAUAGCCGACCUGAGAGGGUGAUCGGCCACACUGGAACUGAGACACGGUCCAGACUCCUACGGGAGGCAGCAGUAGGGAAUCUUCCGCAAUGGGCGAAAGCCUGACGGAGCAACGCCGCGUGAGUGAUGAAGGUCUUCGGAUCGUAAAACUCUGUUAUUAGGGAAGAACAUAUGUGUAAGUAACUGUGCACAUCUUGACGGUACCUAAUCAGAAAGCCACGGCUAACUACGUG
This 497-nucleotide ribosomal RNA is filed under the name uncultured bacterium. RNAcentral describes it as "partial 16S ribosomal RNA". It matches the Rfam family "Bacterial small subunit ribosomal RNA", at positions 28 to 507 of the family's 1533-position model. The record is from RNAcentral.